AAUGAUAGGACGAAAACUCAUUGGUUGGCUUGGGACAAAUUGACUAGGCCUAAAGGCGAGGGAGGUAUGGAUUUUCAUGAUCUUAGAUUAUUUAAUCAAGCUCUUCUGGCUAAGCAGGCUUGCAGAUUGGUGGUUAACCCUGAAUCCUUAGGCGCAAAGGUGGUGAAGGAGAAAUAUUAUCUCCAGGGGCAUAUCCUUAACAUUGUUUUUCCACGAUCGGCUUGGCUCCCUUGGCAAGGUGUUCUGCAUGGUCUGGACCUGCUUAAAUCUGGUGUUAUUUGGAGAAUAUGUGAUGGGUCUAAUAUUAAUAUUCGGAGAGAUUCUCAAGAAUAUCUGGCAGUUCAGUUUGUAUCAAAUGAUGAUGUUUACUAUUAUAGUUUGUAUUAA
RNAcentral lists this ribosomal RNA (387 nucleotides) under Triticum aestivum (bread wheat). Its description in RNAcentral is "partial small subunit ribosomal RNA". Lineage: Eukaryota; Viridiplantae; Streptophyta; Magnoliopsida; Poales; Poaceae. The record is from RNAcentral.